This 255-nucleotide unclassified non-coding RNA is filed under the name Glomus sp. RNAcentral's name for it is "partial contains 5.8S ribosomal RNA and internal transcribed spacer 2". The stretch from base 1 to 65 matches the Rfam family "5.8S ribosomal RNA", at positions 84 to 154 of the family's 154-position model. The record is from RNAcentral. Lineage: Eukaryota; Fungi; Glomeromycota; Glomeromycetes; Glomerales; Glomeraceae.
GUGAAUCAUCAAAUCUUUGAACGCAAAUUGCACUCUCUUCUGAGAGUAUGCCUGUUUGAGGGUCAGCCUAAAAAAAAUCAACGUAGUCGCUGUUUCGCGGUGACAUUCGUCGGAAAUGGGGUCAGCUUAAACCUUUUGGGUUUUUAAUCGUCUUAAAAUUUUCUUUACGAUGCAACGAACUUUUCUAAGUUUUUACUUCUUACACACGUUUAAGGUAUUAGUCUUUAUUAUACGUGUCCUUUGCAUCUAAUCUUG